UACGUAGGUGGCAAGCGUUGUCCGGAAUUAUUGGGCGUAAAGCGCGCGCAGGCGGUUCUUUUAAGUCUGGUGUCUAAGUGCGGGGCUCAACCCCGUGAUGCACUGGAAACUGGGGAACUUGAGUGCAGAAGAGGAGAGCGGAAUUCCACGUGUAGCGGUGAAAUGCGUAGAGAUGUGGAGGAACACCAGUGGCGAAGGCGGCUCUCUGGACUGUAACUGACGCUG
This 225-nucleotide ribosomal RNA is filed under the name uncultured bacterium. RNAcentral's name for it is "partial 16S ribosomal RNA". It matches the Rfam family "Bacterial small subunit ribosomal RNA", at positions 524 to 748 of the family's 1533-position model. The record is from RNAcentral.